This is a long non-coding RNA of Chionomys nivalis (European snow vole), 1727 nucleotides long. RefSeq lists it as uncharacterized. NCBI's taxonomy places the organism in Eukaryota, Metazoa, Chordata, Mammalia, Rodentia, Cricetidae. The record is from RefSeq and is a predicted model, not a curated record. The transcript is spliced from 4 exons.
GGUGUUUUCUCUUCAACUGUGUGGUCCCAGGGAUUGGACUCAGAUUGUCUGGAAUUGCAGUAAGUGCUUUUAUCCACCAGGCCAUCUUGCCAUCCCAAUAUUAUUAUUCUUUAUAGAGGAAUACUAAGAUUUUGUUGCGCAUAUGUACAUAUUUUGUUUCUAUUUGUGUGGAUGAUUGGUGUCUGAGCUUCUAUCCCUCAGCUUUUGUGAGUGUGCAGAUUGUGUCUCUGGUGUGUGGGGAGUCUCCUGCAUAUACCCAGGAGGGAUAUGACUGGCUCAUACUGUAGUGCUGUUUAGUUUUCUGAGGAGCCCCAUACUGUAAGAAGUAAUGAAAUAUGAUUUUUUCUAUCAAAUACUAUGAAUGUUGUGUUUAGGAAUUCAAAUCUUUUUAUUUCUCACACUUGGUCAGACUUUUGUGCAAAAGUCCUAAUCUUCCCCCACCCAGGAAAACCUUUGUUUAUACAGGGACCUACUACUAUAUUCUAGGAAUCUGAUGGCUUGGAGCAGUGACCCCUUCCUCCUAUAUUUCUGUGUGCCAAUUCUUUCCAGAGUAGCCAGUUGAAUUAAGACGGUGAACUUGGACUCCUGCCUAUGGGGAAAAGACAGUUACUACCUGGGUUAGAAUUACAAAACCUGACUCAGAGUGUUUGCCCUUCUGAGCACACCCUCUUGAUCAAGAGUAAGAGUUAACUUGCUCAGACAUUUUAGUAGAAAUGUUGACACCUUUCUUUGUAACUCUGAACUUAUUCUAACAAUUUGUGGGGUUCUUUCUUUUCUUUUUUUUUUUUUGGAUCCUUGCUUGUCAGAGGAUGACCUUCAGAUCCCCCAACCUGGGGAAAUGUGUUUCAUCUACUUAUUUUGGUUGUUCUUGAGUGCUAGGCCUGUCACUCAUCAGCAAAAGAACCUAAGGAUUAGAAGUCUGGACAAAGCCAGAAGAACUGGCCCAAGGAAAUUACCAUGGCAAGUAGGAUUUCUCUGUGCACAGACCAGAGACAGGCUUUCUCUGUGUAGCUUUGGAUGUCCUAGAGUUCACUCUGUAGACCAGAGUGCACCACCACUGCCUGGUAUAAAUGAUUUACAUCUCUUCUGCAUUGUUGGCUUGGUGGUCAUGGAUUGCUUGUCUUGAAAUAUGUAUGUCUUCAACCUUAAGCGAUUAUGACUGGAUAUAGAAAUCUUGAUUGGCAAGGACUUUCAAGCUUUGAAACAUUAGCCCAUACUCCCUUGGUUUUUAGGAUUUCUGUUGAGCCCUCACUCACUGCUGGCCUGAAGUUUGCUGCUUUAAACCAAACUGGCUUCAUAUCAACAGAACUUUCCCUGCCUCUGCCUAUGAGUGCUGCGACUAAAGGCAUGUGCUACUACUCCUGUUUUUUUGUUUUUCUUUCAAAUUUUUUUAUCUCUGUGUGGAUUUGUGCCCAGGAAGCCAGAAGAGGUUGCUGGACCCCCAGUGCUAGAAUCACUGGCAGGUGUGAGUCCUCCAAUAUGAAUCACUGGAACUGAACACAGGUCCUCUGGAAGGUGAGCCAGAGUGCCUCUCGUGUAGCCAUCUCACGGGCCCCAAAACUUAAAAUUUUAGUGAAAAAAACUGUGUACGAAAAAAAUGUAAUUUGGACUUAUAACAUGGAAAAUACCUUUCCUUUGAAGACAGAGUAAUUACAAAAAUGAUGAAUUACACGUUGAAUGUCAAUGAAUUCUCCAAAGUACGUAGAUGGAAUGCUUUUGGGGAGGGA